UGCGCCGUUCAUGGGGAGUAGCCGGUUUCUAUUCGUUAUAUUGAAUUCGUUAUAUUGAAUUGAUAUAUCGAGAUAUAGAGACGCUCGUAUCAACAUACUCGUUUCAUUUAUUGGAACGUGGUGCGGGCAGCCAGGUAAGGUUGGCGAGACCAUAGACACGUAG
Molecule: unclassified non-coding RNA, 163 nt
Filed under: Yersinia enterocolitica (type O:9) str. YE212/02
Lineage: Bacteria; Pseudomonadati; Pseudomonadota; Gammaproteobacteria; Enterobacterales; Yersiniaceae
Also listed under: 3 other names
Source: RNAcentral